UACGUAGGUGGCAAGCGUUAUCCGGAUUUAUUGGGCGUAAAGAGAACGCAGGCGGUCUUUUAAGUCUGAUGUGAAAGCCUUCGGCUUAACCGGAGUAGUGCAUUGGAAACUGGGAGACUUGAGUGCAGAAGAGGAGAGUGGAACUCCAUGUGUAGCGGUGAAAUGCGUAGAUAUAUGGAAGAACAUCAGUGGCGAAAGCGGCUCUCUGGUCUGUAACUGACGCUGAGGUUCGAAAGCGUGGGUAGCAAACAGG
RNAcentral lists this ribosomal RNA (253 nucleotides) under uncultured bacterium. RNAcentral describes it as "partial 16S ribosomal RNA". It matches the Rfam family "Bacterial small subunit ribosomal RNA", at positions 524 to 776 of the family's 1533-position model. The record is from RNAcentral.